RNAcentral lists this ribosomal RNA (469 nucleotides) under uncultured bacterium. RNAcentral describes it as "partial 16S ribosomal RNA". It matches the Rfam family "Bacterial small subunit ribosomal RNA", at positions 28 to 507 of the family's 1533-position model. The record is from RNAcentral.
GACGAACGCUGGCGGCGUGCUUAACACAUGCAAGUCGAACGGAAAGGCCCUGCUUUUGUGGGGUGCUCGAGUGGCGAACGGGUGAGUAACACGUGAGUAACCUGCCCUUGACUUUGGGAUAACUUCAGGAAACUGGGGCUAAUACCGGAUAGGAGCUCCUGCUGCAUGGUGGGGGUUGGAAAGUUUCGGCGGUUGGGGAUGGACUCGCGGCUUAUCAGCUUGUUGGUGGGGUAGUGGCUUACCAAGGCUUUGACGGGUAGCCGGCCUGAGAGGGUGACCGGCCACAUUGGGACUGAGAUACGGCCCAGACUCCUACGGGAGGCAGCAGUGGGGAAUAUUGCACAAUGGGCGCAAGCCUGAUGCAGCGACGCCGCGUGGGGGAUGACGGCCUUCGGGUUGUAAACUCCUUUCGCUAGGGACGAAGCUUUUUGUGACGGUACCUAGAGAAGAAGCACCGGCUAACUACGUG